Molecule: long non-coding RNA, 6705 nt
Filed under: Nicotiana benthamiana
Lineage: Eukaryota; Viridiplantae; Streptophyta; Magnoliopsida; Solanales; Solanaceae
Description: long non-coding RNA (NBEN_LNC023144)
Source: RNAcentral
CUGGCACCAGACUUUCCCUCCAAUGGAUCCUCGUUAAGGGAUUAGAUUGUACUCAUUCCAAUUACCAGACUCAUAAAGCCCGGUACUGUUAUUUAUUGUCACUACCUCCCCGUGUCAGGAUUGGGUAAUUUGCGCGCCUGCUGCCUUCCUUGGAUGUGGUAGCCGUUUCUCAGGCUCCCUCUCCGGAAUCGAACCCUAAUUCUCUGUCACCCGUCACCACCAUGGUAGGCCACUAUCCUAUCGAAAGUUGAUAGGGCAGAAAUUUGAAUGAUGCAUUGCUGGCACGAUGUCCGUGCGAUCCGUCGAGUUAUCAUGAAUCAUCGCAGCAACGGGCAGAGCCCGCGUCAACCUUUUAUCUAAUAAAUGCAUCCCUUCUAGAAGUUGGGGUUUGUUGCACGUAUUAGCUCUAGAAUUACUACGGUUAUCCGAGUAGUAGAUACCAUCAAACAAACUAAAACUGUUUUAAUGAGCCAUUCGUAGUUUCACAGUCUGAAUUUGUUCAUACUCAAACAUGCAUGGCUUAAUCUUUGAGACAAGCAUAUGACUACUGGCAGGAUCAACCAGGUAGUAUUCCUCAUUGACGUCGGCAUCGCAUGAGCGUGGCCGACCCAAAAGGGCACAGCCAAGUCUAAGGCGAGGACGACCGUCAUUCGUAAGGAGAAUUCUUUGGGCAGAUAGAAGCCAAUGAAGGCCCCGUGCCCAUUGCGUUUACCGAAUAUGAGAGCCCGAGCAUGCUAAGUUAUGGACCAAGCCAUCGUAAGGCGAAGCCAGGACGACCUGGGAUACAACUGCAGCUUUUGGUUCACCCCGCACGUCGAACGCGAGGGGCGAAAGGCGACCGAUUGUGCUUGAUAAUGCCUUGGCUUUAGGUAUGCAACACAGAAAACCGACGUCAAACAAGCCUAAUUUGCUCUUGUGACAUGACUGAUAUGGCAUGCGAGCUAGGACGUCGCUGCUCGAGCAGGGAUCCAACCUAGACACAUAAGCCAAACACCACUCAUGUGCCGCACGUACACUUGCCUCGCCGAUACAAAGCCAACACUAGACCCUACACGUGACACACAGCGAUGUGUUGUUGCCGAUGUAAACAUUGCAAAGCCAAGACAAGCCUCGCAAAGCACGAAUAGGGGGUCUGAACAAUGCCAGACACAACCCACAACAACCGAUGGCAAACGGCAACUUACUAAGCUUCGCCUCGUGCGCACGGCACCUUGCGGCACUACUUGCAAGAUGCUAUGCCAUUUUGUUGCUAAAAGCCAUUAGCCGCCAGGAGUGAUGUCGCCUCCCGAUGAUGCCCGCAACAACCGAUGGCAAUCGGCAACUUACUAAGCUUCGCCUCGUGCGCCCGGCACCUUGCGGCACUACUUGCAAGAUGCUAUGCCAUUUUGUUGCCAAAAGCCAUUAGCCGCUAGGAGUGAUGUCGCCUCCCGAUGAUGCCCGCAACAAGACAAAUGAUGGAAAUCGGCAACUUACUAAGCUUCGCCCCAUGCGCACGACACCUUGCGGCGCUACUUGCACGAUGCUUUGCCAUUUUGUUUCCAAAAGCCAUCAGCCGCCAUGAGCGAAGUCGCCUCCCGAUGUUGCCCGCAACAACCGAUGGCAAUCAGCAACUUACUAAGCUUCGCCCCGUGCGCACGACACCUUGCGGCUCUACUUGCACGAUGCAUCGCCAUUUUGUUGCCAAAAGCCAUCAGCCGCCACGAGCGAUUUCGCCUACCAAUGUUGCCCGCAACAACCGAUUGCAAUCAGCAACUUACUAAGCUUCGCCCCGUGCGCAGGGCACCUUGCGGCGCUAAUUGUAUGAUGCUUUGCCAUUUUGUUUUCAAAAGCCAUCAACUGCCACGAGCGAUGUCGACUCCCGAUGUUUCCCGCAACAACCGAUGCCAUUGAACGCUACUGAGCUUCGCCCCGUGUGCACGGCACCUUGCGGCGCUACUUGCACGAUGCUCCACCGUUCGUUUUCAAAAGACAUAAGAUGCCACGGAGACACAACCCACAACAAUCGAUGGCAAUAGGCAACUUACUAAGCAUCGCCCCAUGCGCCCGGCACCUUGCGGCGCUACUUGCACGACGCUGCGCCGUUCCAUUACCGAAAGCCAUCAACCGCCAUGAGCGAUGUUGCCCGCGACAACCGAUGGCUAUCAAAAUCUACUGAGCUUUACCCAUGCACACGGCACCUUGCGACGCUACUUGCACGAGGCUCCACCGUUCAUUGUCGAAAGCCAUCCGCCGCCACGAGAGAUUCCAGACAUAACCCACAACAACCGAAGGCAAUCAACAACAACUUACUAAGCUUCGCCCCAUGCGCACAGCACCUUGCGGUGCUACUUGCACGACGCGUUGCCGUUCUGUUGUCAAAAGCCAUCUGCCGCCACGAGCGAUGUCGCCUCCUGAUUUUGCCCCCAACAUUCAAUGGCAAUCAACAAGUACUAAGCUUCACCCCAUGCGCACGGCACCUUGCGGCGCUACUUGCACGACGCUCCACCGUUCAUUGCCAAAAGCCAAUGUUUGCCACGAGCGGUGCCACCACCAGGCUUACUACGAGCCCACACGAGUACUUGCCGGCACGGUUUGGGAACAUCAAGGACGUAGCACGGACAAGCCGUGCAUGCACCCAAUGCCCACGCCCCAUGCCAGGGUUCCCUAUGCCUGCCCGCCCCUUCCUGGAAGCAAGCACCUGAGGUGCCUCUCAACACCUCUACCCCCUUAUAUAUGCUUAGGAAAAUAACCAAGUUUUAAGAGUAGACAUGUUUUGUCUAGAGAAUCAUAAUAGACAUGUACAACACCAAUUAGCACAAACCAAAGUACAACUUGGCUAAUAUAUUGACAAAUGACUUUUAGACAUUGUAAAUGAUAAUUUUUUACAAAAAAAUAAUAUUUGUUUUAUUUAAAACGAAAAAUACUUAUUAAAAUACUAAAAAAUAUGAAAAUUAUUAUAAAAAUAGAAAAAAUGAUGGAGAUAAAUUCCAAUACAACUUGUAAUAGUAUAAAAUAUAAAAAAGUAAAUAUUUUUUAUUAAAAAGUGACAUAAAAAUAAUUUAAAAUAACAAGAAAUGCAUAUAAAUUACUAAAACAUAUAUUAAAAAUAGGAAAAAUACAUAAUAUUAUUAUAAAAGCAUAUAGAUGACCAACCGCCAAUAAGCACGAGGCACCUCCAUUGUCGCAACCACAACAAGUGAUUCCGAUUUGAAUAAACAGCUGCCAACCACAGAGCGUCAAUCAACCGUCACGAGCCACCGCGACUUUCCACCACCGCCACCAACGACCACCAACAUCAUUGCGCUUGAUGUGUUGCCCAACCACAACAAAUGAUUAGGAUUUGAAGAAACUGCCGCCAACCACCAAGCGUCGGACGACUGUCGCGUGACGCUACCGCUCGAACAACCCCGACUUUCCACCGCCGCCGCCAACGACCACCAACAUCAUUGCUCUUGACAUGUUUCUAAGCAUUGGUUAGCAGUAGACGUGGUGCGACGUGGUGCGAUGUCGUGCCAUGGCCAUAUCCUGCCAUGUCCUGUGACGUCCUGACAAGUACCAUGGCCAUGUCCUGACACGUCCGGACACGUACCAUGGCCAUGUCCUGACACGUUCCAUGACCAUGUCCUGAUGCGUCCUGCGACGUCCCGACACGUACCAUGGCCAUGUCCUCACACGUGCCAUGACCAUGUCCUGACGCGUCCUGCGACGUCCUGACACGCACCAUGGCCAUGUCCUGACACGUUCCUUGACCAUAUCCUGCCAUGUCCUGCGACGUCCUGACACGUACCAUGGCCAUGUCCUGACACGUCCUGAAACGUACCAUGACCAUAUCCUGCCAUGUCUUGCGACGUACUAACACGUACCAUGGCCAUGUCCAGACGCGUCCUGACACGUGCCAUGGCCAUGUCCUGACACGUACCAUGGCCAUGUCCUGACACGUUCUGCGACAUCCUGACUAGUGCCAUGGCCACGCCUUGCCAUGUCCUGUGACAUCCCGACUCGUGCCAUGGCCACGCCCUUCCAUGUCCUGACGCGUCCUGACACAUGCUAUGGCCAUGUGAAUAUGCGUCCUGACACAUACCAUUGCCACGCCUUGCCAUGCCCUGCGACGUCAUGAGUCAUGACAUGGCCACGCCCUGCCAUGUUCUGCGACGUCCUGACUCGUGCCAUGGCCACGCCCUGCCAUGNNNNNNNNNNNNNNNNNNNNNNNNNNNNNNNNNNNNNNNNNNNNNNNNNNNNNNNNNNNNNNNNNNNNNNNNNNNNNNNNNNNNNNNNNNNNNNNNNNNNNNNNNNNNNNNNNNNNNNNNNNNNNNNNNNNNNNNNNNNNNNNNNNNNNNNNNNNNNNNNNNNNNNNNNNNNNNNNNNNNNNNNNNNNNNNNNNNNNNNNNNNNNNNNNNNNNNNNNNNNNNNNNNNNNNNNNNNNNCCAUGGCCAUGUCCUGACGCAUCCUGCGACGUCCUGACUCUUGCCAUGGCCACGCCUUGCCAUGUCCUGUGACGUCAUGAGUCAUGCCAUGUCCUGAUGUGUCCUGACAUGUACUGACACGUGCCACUGCCAUGUCCUGACGUGUCCUGACACGUGCCGCUGCCAUAUCCUGACGUGUCCUGACACGUGCCGCUGCCAUAUCCUGACCUGGGGUCGCGGUAGGAGCGCCUAAGCGCGAUAAGGGUCAGGGAGCCCAAACAUGCGAAGGGUUGGAGCAGUAACAUUACGAGAGUUGAGUUUCAACCACCACUUGUCGUGACGUCCGUCGUUGUGGACUCGCAUUUAGGCCAACGGCACGCUCGAGGAGCACGGGAGGCCAGUAUUCAUCCCAUGACAGCACCGCGACCAUGAGAAUGGGCGCGGUGUGCGUGGGCGAAGCGAUGCGUGACGCCCAGGAAGACGUGCCCUCGACCUAAUGGCUUCGGGCGCAACAUGCGCUCAAAGUCUCAAUGGUUCACGGGAUUCUGCAAUUCACACAAAGAAUCGCAUUUCGCUAAGUUCUUCAUCGAUGCCAGAGCCGAGAUAUCUAUUGCCGAGAAUCAUUUGUGAUUCAAAAGAAGCACAAGUCCCCUGCGCAUGCCGCUACUGGCAGGAUCAACCAGGUAGUAUUCCUCAUUGACGCCGGCGUCGCAUGAGCGUAGCCGACCCAAAAGGGCACGGCCAAGUCCAAGGCGAGCACGACCGUCAUUCGUAAGGAGCAUNNNNUGAUAUAGGAGGAAGCCGCACUGACGGAGGGCGAAGCAUCCCGGCCGCACUGCUCCCCAGUUUUUAAUCAAGUUCGCGGGUUGUUCUGCCUUGCAUGUUUCGACAAUGAUCCUUCCGCAGGUUCACCUACGGAAACCUUGUUACGACUUCUCCUUCCUCUAAAUGAUAAGGUUCAAUUGACUUCUCACGACGUCGCGGGCAGCGAAAUGCCCACGCCGCCGCGAUCCGAACAUUUCACUGGAUCAUUCAAUCGGUAGGAGCGAUGGGCGGUGUAUACAAAGGGCAGGACGUAGUCAACCCGAGCUGAUGACUCGUGCUUACUAGGAAUUCCUCGUUGAAGACAAACAAUUGCAAUGAUCUAUCCCCAUCAGGAUGUAAUUUCAAAGGUUACCCGGGCCUGUCGGCCAAGGCUGUUAACUCGUUGAAUUCAUCAGUGUACCACGCGUACGAACCAUAACAUCUAAGGGCAUCACAGACCUGUUAAUGCCUCAAACUUCCGCGGCCUAAAAGGCCGUAGUCCCUCUAAGAAGCUGGCCGCGAAGGGAUACCUCUGCAUAGCUAGUUAGCAGGUUGAGGUCUCGUUCAUUAACGAAAUUAACCAGACAAAUCGCUCCACCAACAUAGAACGACCAUGCACCACCACCCAUAGAAUCAAGAAAGAGCUCUUAGUCUGUCCAUCCUUACUAUGUUUGGACCUGGUAAGUUUUCCCUUGUUGAGUCAAAUUAAGCCGCAGGCUCCACUCCUGGUGGUGCCCUUCCAUCAAUUCCUUUAAGCUUCAGCCUUGCGACCAUACUCCCCCCGGAACCCAAAAACUUUGAUUUCUCAUAGCGGAGUCCUAAAAGCAACAUCUGCCGAUCCCUGGUCGGCAUCGUUUAUGGUUGAGGCUAGGACGGUAUCUGAUCGUCUUCAAGCCCCCAACUUUCGUUCUUGAUUAAUGAAUACAUCCUUGGCAAAAUUCUUUUGCAGUUGUUCGUCUUUCAUAAAUCAAAGAACACCUAUGACUAUGAAAUACGAACGCCCCCGACUGUCCAUGUUAAUCAGUACUCUGAUCCCGAAGGCCAAGGUAAUAGAAUGAAAUCCUAUAAUGUUAUCCCAUGCUAAUGUAUAUAGAGCGUAGGCUUUCUUUGAGCACUCUAAUUUCUUCAAAGUAACAGUGCCGGGGGCACCCCGGCCAAUUAAGGCUAGGAGCGCAUCGCCGACAGAAGGGACGAGUCUACCGGUGCACACCAAAGGCGGACCGGUCGGCCCAUCCCAAUGUCCAACUACGAGCUUUUUAACUGCAACAACUUAAACAUAUGCUAUUGGAGAUGAAAUUACCGCAGCUUCGAGCACCAGACUUGCCCUCCAAUGGAUCCUCGUUAAGGGAUUUAGAUUGUACUCAUUCCAAUUACCAGAUUCAUAAAGCCCGGUAUUGUUAUUUAUUGUCACUACCUCCAUGUGUCAGGAUUGGGUAAUUUGCGCGCCUACUGCCUUCCUUGGAUGUGGUAGCCGUUUCUCAGGCUCCCUCUCCGGAAUCGAACACUAAUUCUCCGUCAC